Molecule: long non-coding RNA, 574 nt
Organism: Eurytemora carolleeae
Lineage: Eukaryota; Metazoa; Arthropoda; Copepoda; Calanoida; Temoridae
Exons: 3
Source: RefSeq, a predicted model, not a curated record
CAUUAUUGCACAAUUUUUUUAUUUCUCAGGGAACCCCUGUAAUUGUUCUGAACGGGAUAAAAAACCGCAGUUCUCCCUGGCAGUGUAUUAACAUCCCAUCAAUGUGCCCUCAUGGAGUUAAAAAUGAUUCAGAGACUGACGAAGUAGUGUUCCUCUACGUCUACUUACCUCUUCAAGAUGAAGCGAAACCCUCACCAACAAACAACUACAACUUCAAGUUCCACGAGGAAUCCAUCUAGUGGGGAUAUUUUGAACUAAUGGUGCCCCCCUCCCCCUCUAUAGAUAGAUAGAUAGAUAGAUAGAGGUCAAAUGGGUUCCUGUGAUCUCCGAAAUCCAAAUAAUGUAACUGAAGUCUAUUUAUUUCGUCAAAUGACUUUUAAAAACUUCAUUUUAUAUUAAUGAUCUAAACAUUAGAAAAUAUGAUUUGGAAUGUUUUCUUAAAAAUACUUUUUUAUAAUAUUUUCAUUAAAACAUCUUUGUAUUUUUGAUAAACAAUGCAAGACUGCAAUAUAAUAUAAUAUGAUAGUAUCUAUAAAUAAUUAUGAAUUUAGAAAGAAAUAUAUGAUAUUUUAAA